AGCGUACACGGUGGAUGCCCUGGCAGUCAGAGGCGAUGAAGGACGUGCUAAUCUGCGAUAAGCGUCGGUAAGGUGAUAUGAACCGUUAUAACCGGCGAUUUCCGAAUGGGGAAACCCAGUGUGAUUCGUCACACUAUCAUUAACUGAAUCCAUAGGUUAAUGAGGCGAACCGGGGGAACUGAAACAUCUAAGUACCCCGAGGAAAAGAAAUCAACCGAGAUUCCCCCAGUAGCGGCGAGCGAACGGGGAGCAGCCCAGAGCCUGAAUCAGUGUGUGUGUUAGUGGAAGCGUCUGGAAAGGCGCGCGAUACAGGGUGACAGCCCCGUACACAAAAAUGCACAUGCUGUGAGCUCGAUGAGUAGGGCGGGACACGUGGUAUCCUGUCUGAAUAUGGGGGGACCAUCCUCCAAGGCUAAAUACUCCUGACUGACCGAUAGUGAACCAGUACCGUGAGGGAAAGGCGAAAAGAACCCCGGCGAGGGGAGUGAAAAAGAACCUGAAACCGUGUACGUACAAGCAGUGGGAGCACGCUUAGGCGUGUGACUGCGUACCUUUUGUAUAAUGGGUCAGCGACUUAUAUUCUGUAGCAAGGUUAACCGAAUAGGGGAGCCGAAGGGAAACCGAGUCUUAACUGGGCGUUAAGUUGCAGGGUAUAGACCCGAAACCCGGUGAUCUAGCCAUGGGCAGGUUGAAGGUUGGGUAACACUAACUGGAGGACCGAACCGACUAAUGUUGAAAAAUUAGCGGAUGACUUGUGGCUGGGGGUGAAAGGCCAAUCAAACCGGGAGAUAGCUGGUUCUCCCCGAAAGCUAUUUAGGUAGCGCCUCGUGAAUUCAUCUCCGGGGGUAGAGCACUGUUUCGGCAAGGGGGUCAUCCCGACUUACCAACCCGAUGCAAACUGCGAAUACCGGAGAAUGUUAUCACGGGAGACACACGGCGGGUGCUAACGUCCGUCGUGAAGAGGGAAACAACCCAGACCGCCAGCUAAGGUCCCAAAGUCAUGGUUAAGUGGGAAACGAUGUGGGAAGGCCCAGACAGCCAGGAUGUUGGCUUAGAAGCAGCCAUCAUUUAAAGAAAGCGUAAUAGCUCACUGGUCGAGUCGGCCUGCGCGGAAGAUGUAACGGGGCUAAACCAUGCACCGAAGCUGCGGCAGCGACACUAUGUGUUGUUGGGUAGGGGAGCGUUCUGUAAGCCUGUGAAGGUGUACUGUGAGGUAUGCUGGAGGUAUCAGAAGUGCGAAUGCUGACAUAAGUAACGAUAAAGCGGGUGAAAAGCCCGCUCGCCGGAAGACCAAGGGUUCCUGUCCAACGUUAAUCGGGGCAGGGUGAGUCGACCCCUAAGGCGAGGCCGAAAGGCGUAGUCGAUGGGAAACAGGUUAAUAUUCCUGUACUUGGUGUUACUGCGAAGGGGGGACGGAGAAGGCUAUGUUGGCCGGGCGACGGUUGUCCCGGUUUAAGCGUGUAGGCUGGUUUUCCAGGCAAAUCCGGAAAAUCAAGGCUGAGGCGUGAUGACGAGGCACUACGGUGCUGAAGCAACAAAUGCCCUGCUUCCAGGAAAAGCCUCUAAGCAUCAGGUAACAUCAAAUCGUACCCCAAACCGACACAGGUGGUCAGGUAGAGAAUACCAAGGCGCUUGAGAGAACUCGGGUGAAGGAACUAGGCAAAAUGGUGCCGUAACUUCGGGAGAAGGCACGCUGAUAUGUAGGUGAAGUCCCUCGCGGAUGGAGCUGAAAUCAGUCGAAGAUACCAGCUGGCUGCAACUGUUUAUUAAAAACACAGCACUGUGCAAACACGAAAGUGGACGUAUACGGUGUGACGCCUGCCCGGUGCCGGAAGGUUAAUUGAUGGGGUUAGCGCAAGCGAAGCUCUUGAUCGAAGCCCCGGUAAACGGCGGCCGUAACUAUAACGGUCCUAAGGUAGCGAAAUUCCUUGUCGGGUAAGUUCCGACCUGCACGAAUGGCGUAAUGAUGGCCAGGCUGUCUCCACCCGAGACUCAGUGAAAUUGAACUCGCUGUGAAGAUGCAGUGUACCCGCGGCAAGACGGAAAGACCCCGUGAACCUUUACUAUAGCUUGACACUGAACAUUGAGCCUUGAUGUGUAGGAUAGGUGGGAGGCUUGGAAGUGUGGACGCCAGUCUGCAUGGAGCCGACCUUGAAAUACCACCCUUUAAUGUUUGAUGUUCUAACGUUGACCCGUGAUCCGGGUUGCGGACAGUGUCUGGUGGGUAGUUUGACUGGGGCGGUCUCCUCCUAAAGAGUAACGGAGGAGCACGAAGGUUGGCUAAUCCUGGUCGGACAUCAGGAGGUUAGUGCAAUGGCAUAAGCCAGCUUGACUGCGAGCGUGACGGCGCGAGCAGGUGCGAAAGCAGGUCAUAGUGAUCCGGUGGUUCUGAAUGGAAGGGCCAUCGCUCAACGGAUAAAAGGUACUCCGGGGAUAACAGGCUGAUACCGCCCAAGAGUUCAUAUCGACGGCGGUGUUUGGCACCUCGAUGUCGGCUCAUCACAUCCUGGGGCUGAAGUAGGUCCCAAGGGUAUGGCUGUUCGCCAUUUAAAGUGGUACGCGAGCUGGGUUUAGAACGUCGUGAGACAGUUCGGUCCCUAUCUGCCGUGGGCGCUGGAGAACUGAGGGGGGCUGCUCCUAGUACGAGAGGACCGGAGUGGACGCAUCACUGGUGUUCGGGUUGUCAUGCCAAUGGCACUGCCCGGUAGCUAAAUGCGGAAGAGAUAAGUGCUGAAAGCAUCUAAGCACGAAACUUGCCCCGAGAUGAGUUCUCCCUGACUCCUUGA
This 2786-nucleotide ribosomal RNA is filed under the name Escherichia coli. Its description in RNAcentral is "bacterial LSU rRNA". It matches the Rfam family "Bacterial large subunit ribosomal RNA". Lineage: Bacteria; Pseudomonadati; Pseudomonadota; Gammaproteobacteria; Enterobacterales; Enterobacteriaceae. The record is from RNAcentral.